ACAGGGAUUGCCCUAGUAACGGCGAGUGAAGCGGCAACAGCUCAAAUUUGAAAUCUGGCGCAAGCCCGAGUUGUAAUUUGUAGAGGAUGCUUCUAGGUAGCGACCGGUCUAAGUUCCUUGGAACAGGACGUCAUAGAGGGUGAGAAUCCCGUAUGUGACCGGCCCGCACCUUCUACGUAGCUCCUUCGACGAGUCGAGUUGUUUGGGAAUGCAGCUCUAAAUGGGAGGUAAAUUUCUUCUAAAGCUAAAUACCGGCCAGAGACCGAUAGCGCACAAGUAGAGUGAUCGAAAGAUGAAAAGCACUUUGGAAAGAGAGUUAAAAAGCACGUGAAAUUGUUGAAAGGGAAGCGCUCACAACCAGACUUCUGGGCGGUGUUCCGCCGGUCUUCUGACCGGUCUACUCACCGUCCCGAGGCCAACAUCAUCUGGGACCGCUGGAUAAGACCUCAGGAAUGUAGCUCCCCCUCGGGGGAGUGUUAUAGCCUGUGGUGAUGCAGCGCGUCUCGGGUGAGGUCCGCGCUUCGGCAAGGAUGUUGGCGUAAUGGUUGUCAGCGGCCCGUCUUGAAACACGGACCAAGGAGUCUAACAUCUAUGCGAGUGUUCGGGUGUCAAACCCCUACGCGUAAUGAAAGUGAACGGAGGUGGGAAGCGUAAGCUGCACCAUCGACCGAUCCUGAUGUCCUCGGAUGGAUUUGAGUAAGAGCAUAGCUGUUGGGACCCGAAAGAUGGUGAACUAUGCCUGAAUAGGGUGAAGCCAGAGGAAACUCUGGUGGAGGCUCGCAGCGGUUCUGACGUGCAAAUCGAUCGUCAAAUUUGGGUAUA
This 822-nucleotide ribosomal RNA is filed under the name Ramularia hydrangeae-macrophyllae. RNAcentral describes it as "eukaryotic LSU rRNA". It matches the Rfam family "Eukaryotic large subunit ribosomal RNA", at positions 68 to 919 of the family's 3401-position model. The record is from RNAcentral. Lineage: Eukaryota; Fungi; Ascomycota; Dothideomycetes; Mycosphaerellales; Mycosphaerellaceae.